Molecule: ribosomal RNA, 497 nt
Filed under: uncultured bacterium
Lineage: Bacteria
Description: partial 16S ribosomal RNA
Rfam family: Bacterial small subunit ribosomal RNA
Source: RNAcentral
GAUGAACGCUGGCGGCGUGCCUAAUACAUGCAAGUCGAGCGAACGGACGAGAAGCUUGCUUCUCUGAUGUUAGCGGCGGACGGGUGAGUAACACGUGGAUAACCUACCUAUAAGACUGGGAUAACUUCGGGAAACCGGAGCUAAUACCGGAUAAUAUUUUGAACCGCAUGGUUCAAUAGUGAAAGACGGUCUUGCUGUCACUUAUAGAUGGAUCCGCGCUGCAUUAGCUAGUUGGUAAGGUAACGGCUUACCAAGGCAACGAUGCGUAGCCGACCUGAGAGGGUGAUCGGCCACACUGGAACUGAGACACGGUCCAGGCUCCUACGGGAGGCAGCAGUAGGGAAUCUUCCGCAAUGGGCGAAAGCCUGACGGAGCAACGCCGCGUGAGUGAUGAAGGUCUUCGGAUCGUAAAACUCUGUUAUUAGGGAAGAACAAAUGUGUAAGUAACUGUGCACAUCUUGACGGUACCUAAUCAGAAAGCCACGGCUAACUACGUG